Molecule: transfer RNA, 72 nt
Filed under: Candidatus Omnitrophota bacterium
Lineage: Bacteria; Pseudomonadati; Candidatus Omnitrophota
Description: Candidatus Omnitrophica bacterium (groundwater metagenome) tRNA-Glu
Rfam family: tRNA
About the family: Transfer RNA (tRNA) molecules are approximately 80 nucleotides in length. Their secondary structure includes four short double-helical elements and three loops (D, anti-codon, and T loops).
Source: RNAcentral
GUCCCCGUCGUCCAAUGGCCAGGACACCAGCCUUUCGAGCUGACAAUGCGGGUUCGAUCCCCGCCGGGGACG